CGCGUGGGCGAGAGGGGUAAAUGGAGGAGAGUGAGAGGUGGGAGAGAGCGUUGAGUGUAUGGGGUAGAGUGGGGGAGUGUGUGCGGGGAAUAUGAGUGCAGUGCGAGAGAGGGAGGCUGGGGAGAGGGUGAAUGGCAGACGAGGGAACGUGGAAGGGUGUGCCGGCGAUUGUCCAGUGUGUGAGCGGGCAUCCCGGAGGCUCUCCGUGAUCGUGAUCGCUGGCGAUAGUGAACCCUGGUGUCCUCGAGGUCUAGGCUAAACCAGAAACUGUCACUGCGCUAGCACCUAGAACGAAGCCGCACAGCACUGCAGGCUCUGUCCACUUUCACAGUUACCCUGUGGAGUUACCGGGACCCAGGUGAGAAGAUGACCCUUCUGCACGUGUUAACGUGGUUUCCCCUGAACUAUCUCUUCAAUCAGCAUAGAUUGAUGGCACAAAAUCUUUCCUGGAAAAAUGACUGUGAGGAGUUGACAGAGUAAACCGACAGUUUUUAUAUGAUUUGAAUACAAAUGUGUUUUGUUUGCCUGCGCUGAUUUCUUACCUAUAGGUUCUAUAACACAGCACCCACUACAUUGUAAGUGGCCUCGAAACUAAAUCUCAUCAUUUGAAUAUAUAUUUACAUUGCACAACAUUGCCUUUUUAAACUCUAGAGAAUUUUAAGCUUUUCUGUGACCCUUUCUUUGCUAGUUGAGCCUGUUUGAAAAAAUAUUUUGAUGACUAGAAUGGUCUUUACCUUUAGAGAUAUUUAAUUCCUUUCAUAGUAUUUUUGGGUUGAAAUUUCAUUCUUCUCAGAAAAUGUUAAUUCUUUUGGCAUAAAAUGCACACAUGAUAUAUUUGCUUUAGCAGAUCAGAUAAAUUGCUUUAUGUUUUUAUUUCUGCAGCGGUCAAAAAUGUUGGCUCUUAACUAAUGUAUCGUUUGACAGGAAUUCAAAUUCACAAUCAGUCUGCUUUCUUGUAGUCUUUUAGUUUUAGUUGAGAUUUGAACAUAACUCUCUUUUUUUUUUUUUUUUUUUUGCAGUCUUUUACGGGAGACAUUCACUAAAUUCUGUCACCACAGUAUCCAUAAAUUGGAUCUAUAUAUAUAUGUUGAUAUUUAUUGUUUUUAGUAGCAAAACAAAUUGAUGUGUUUUUCUACUUUCCAUUAUUGGUGAAAAGCCUAUCAUGAGGGAACAGAGUGACUGGUUAGUGCAGAAGGAUAUGAGUCAUCGGCAGGAUUUGUCAGCAAAUUGAGAAGGAUAUGAUGGAGAAACAAUAGAUUCUAGUGACAUUAUUCUUCAUUCCACACGUGUGGUUACAAACAAGUUUCCUUUUGGUGAUUGGUUUAAAUUAUUCAAAUAACUUAGAUCUUUCUAGAUGAGAAGCACUUAAAAUUUAAGUCUUAGACUAUCCCCUGAAUUGUUUUUCUAGUGAAAUGAGAUCUUCAUUUGGAGGUUAUCAGCAAGUAGAAUUUAGUUAAACUCACAUCUGUUUACUAGGAAAAAUAAUUCACUUACGAGGUAGGAGUUAGUAAGUUGAGAGUCUAUUUUUGUAAAGCUUGUUGUUAAAUUAUGGAACCGCUCAGUAGAUCAGAAGAUUCCCACCAAUGUGGCACAUUUAUUUUCUCUCAUUGAGCAGACUCGCUCCCUGACUACUACUCAUACUUUUAAAUUCCUAAGAGCUUUUAUUGCAUUUGAAUUGGUUUGAAAUUCUCAGCAUGGUCAAGGCCUCCUAGAGUUAUCUAACCAAAGACUCCUUUCCUUUCUCAGUCAUGCUACCAUGGCCCUUUCUACAGUCUUGUUACAAAAGUUUUACCUUUCCUUGGAAGUCUUAAUUAAUCCUACUCCAUUCGACUCAUACUUUGUGUCUUCAAAGUAUAUAGCAUUAGUAUGAAAUUUUAAUGGCCUUCAUCAAAUAUUUUUCACCCACAUGGAUUCUUCUAGUAUCUUGAUCCUGGAUAGAGUUUGUGUGGUAUGUGCAAAGAGCUCCACAAAUGCUUGUUGUAAGAUUGAAUAUGUGGCAUUUUAGUAUCAUUCAGAAGUGGCGUAUUGUCCUCUAUCUCAGUGAGCAUUUGGAGGAAGAGGACAAGAAAGAUUAAUUUUUGCAUUCUUUAGGUGGGAAGAGAAGGUAGGCAAAUCCAUGUGGAACUGAGCUGGUGAGCAAAGAAUAAUUAUCCCUUGACAUGGCAUUAAGAGGUGUUUCACCAUUUUUACUUCACUUUCGUGUUUUAAUGUGAAACAACUGCUUUCGCUGUAUGUUUUUUAAAGAUUGUCAAUGUUGUGUUUUAUGAAAAUAAACAUCUAGCCAUUAUUGCA
Long non-coding RNA from Ursus maritimus (polar bear), 2292 nucleotides. The record is from Ensembl. Lineage: Eukaryota; Metazoa; Chordata; Mammalia; Carnivora; Ursidae.